GACGAACGCUGGCGGCGCGCCUAACACAUGCAAGUCGAACGAGCGAGAGAGAGCUUGCUUUCUCGAGCGAGUGGCGAACGGGUGAGUAACGCGUGAGGAACCUGCCUCAAAGAGGGGGACAACAGUUGGAAACGACUGCUAAUACCGCAUAAGCCCACGACCCGGCAUCGGGUAGAGGGAAAAGGAGCAAUCCGCUUUGAGAUGGCCUCGCGUCCGAUUAGCUAGUUGGUGAGGUAACGGCCCACCAAGGCGACGACCGGUAGCCGGACUGAGAGGUUGAACGGCCACAUUGGGACUGAGACACGGCCCAGACUCCUACGGGAGGCAGGAGUGGGGGAUAUUGCACAAUGGCGGAAACGCUGAUGCAGCGACGCCGCGUGGAGGAAGAAGGUCUUCGGAUUGUAAACUCCUGUUGUUGAGGAAGAUAAUGACGGUACUCAACAAGGAAGUGACGGCUAACUACGUG
RNAcentral lists this ribosomal RNA (466 nucleotides) under uncultured bacterium. RNAcentral describes it as "partial 16S ribosomal RNA". It matches the Rfam family "Bacterial small subunit ribosomal RNA", at positions 28 to 507 of the family's 1533-position model. The record is from RNAcentral.